AGGGGCAUAGUGUUAAUGGCAGCACGUCGGUCUCCAAAACCGAAAGUCUGGGUUCAAAUCCUAGUGCCCCUG
Nitrospira japonica is the source of this 72-nucleotide transfer RNA. It matches the Rfam family "tRNA". Rfam says of the family: Transfer RNA (tRNA) molecules are approximately 80 nucleotides in length. Their secondary structure includes four short double-helical elements and three loops (D, anti-codon, and T loops). The record is from Rfam. Lineage: Bacteria; Pseudomonadati; Nitrospirota; Nitrospiria; Nitrospirales; Nitrospiraceae.